Molecule: long non-coding RNA, 649 nt
Filed under: Mus spicilegus (steppe mouse)
Lineage: Eukaryota; Metazoa; Chordata; Mammalia; Rodentia; Muridae
Description: lncRNA (ENSMSIG00000009141.1)
Source: RNAcentral
UCUGGCCUGUUGACACUGUUGUGGAGCUGGGUUACUAAACUUCAUCACUUUCCUACAGAUGCAGACUUUGCUGCAAUGGUGGGAAGUCACAAAGAAACUCCAUUGGUCUCAGUGUGAAGAGUUGGAAGAGAAGAUACAAGACAAUUUCCUUUGAUGUUAAAGUUUUCCGAAGUGACUGCCUCGCUCUUCCCAGUCCCAUCCCCUGUGCCCUGGGAGAAGCACCAUGCUUUGUCCUGCACGGAGACUCCAGGUCAGAGGCCUCUCAGAAGCUUUCUCAGAGCAGCACAGUGGAGGCAAGAUUGCUCUCAGAGGAGCUACCAACCCCACCAGCAGAAACACAGCUCUCCUGCCCCUGCCUAUUUCUCCCAAGUGUCUCUUCUAUGCCAGGCCCGGUCCCAGGAGUGGAGAGAAGAAGAGAGUGAAGAAAACUCCAAGUGGCACAGAACAGAGGUUGGCUAACUGGCCAGCCUGCGUUGGGAAGUAAACAUUACUGGAAUGUAGCUAAGUUCUCUUGCUCUUAUAUCAUCUAUGACUGUUUUUCUUCAAGGGCAGAAUUGUGCAGGUCAGGUCUAUGAAACCUUUCUGUGCUAUCUAACCCUUUAUUAAAAAUACUUUCUGGAGCUGGUCCGUGAUGGUGCAUGCCCUUUAA